GUCUAUAGCCAUACUACCCUGAAUGUACCCAAUCUUGUCUGAUCUCAGAAGCUAAGCAGGAUAGGGCCUGGUUAGUACUUAGAUGGGAGAAAUAAAGAAAAAAUAUACAUAGACA
Ribosomal RNA from Fukomys damarensis (Damara mole-rat), 115 nucleotides. NCBI's taxonomy places the organism in Eukaryota, Metazoa, Chordata, Mammalia, Rodentia, Bathyergidae. The record is from Ensembl.